UGACUAACACUUAGACAAAAAGUCGAAAAAGAGGUCAAAACCCGUCAUAACGACACGUAAACACGUACAUAGCACCGCGUAGGUAUUAGGCAUGCAUUACAACAUAUGGGACUCGAUUCCGACUUACAUAGGCCGAGUUAUCAGCCUGUAGGCAAAACUGACCAACACUUUAGUAAAAAAUCGAAAAAGAGUCCAAAACCCGCCUCGGCCAUCGUAACAAUAUGCAAACUUGUAUAUAGCACAGCGUAGGUAUUAGGAACGCGUUACAAAUUACGGAAUUCGUUUCUGACAUACGGAGGCCAAGUUAUCAGCCCGUAGGCAAAAUUGACCAAUACUUAGGCAAAAAGUCAAAAAAGAGGCCAAAACUCGUCUCGGUCGUCAUAAUGACACACAAACACAUACAUAGCACUACGUAUGUAUUAGACACGCGUUACAACUUAUGGAACUCGAUUCCAACUUACGGAGGCCGAGUUACCAGCCCGUAGGCAAAACUGACCAACAAUUAUGCAAAAUGUCGAAAAAGAGACCAAAACCCGCCUCGGCCGUAGUAACAACACGCAAACACGUGCAUAGUACCGCAUAGGUAUUCGGCACGCGUUAAAACUUACGGGACGCGAUUCCAACUUACAGAGGUCGAGUUAUCACCCCGUAGUCAAAACUGACUAACACUUAGGCAAAAAGUCGAAAAAGAGGCCAAAACCCACUUCAGCCGUCGUAACAACACGUAAACACAUACAUAGCACCGCGUAGGUACUAGGCACACGUUACAACUUACGGGACUAAUUUCUGACUUACGGAGGCCGAGUUAUCAGUCCAUAGAUAAAACUCGCCAACACUUAGGCAAAAAGUCAAAAAAGAGGCCAAAAUUCGUCUCGAUCGUCGUAACAACACGCAAACACAUAAUAGCACAAUGUAGAUAUUAGGCACGCGUUACAAUAUAUGUUACUCGAUUUCGACUUACGGAGGCCGAGUUAUUAGCCCGUAGGCAAAACUGACCAACACUUAGGUAAAAAGUUAAAAAAGAGGCCAAAACCCGCCUCGGCCGUUAUAACGAUACGAAAACACAUGCAUAGUACUGCAUAGGUAUUAGGCACACGUUAAAACUUGCGGGACUCGAUUCCAACUUACGUAGGCCGAGUUAAUAGUCCGUAGGCAAAAUUGACCAACACUUAGGUAAAAAAUCAGAAAAAAGGCUAAAACCCGCCUCGGCCGUCGUAAUGUCACGCAAACUCGUACAUAGUACCGCGUAGGUAUUAGGCAUGCGUUACAACUUAUGGAACUCGAUUCUGACUUACGGAGGCCGAGUUAUCAGCCCGUAGGCAAAACUGACCAACACUUAGGUAAAAAGUCGAAAAAGAGGCCAAAAUCCGCCUCAGCCAUCUUAACGAUACGCAAACACAUGCAUAGCACCGCGUAGGUAUUAGGCACGCAUUACAACUUACGGGACUCAAUUUCGAGAUACGGAGGCCGAGUUAUCAGCCCGUAGGAAAAACUGACCAACACUUAGGUAAAAAGUCGAAAAAGAUGCCAAAACCCACCUCGGUCGUCGUAACAACACGCAAAUACAUGCAUAGCACUGCAUGGGUAUUAGGCA
This 1594-nucleotide long non-coding RNA is filed under the name Panax ginseng (ginseng). RNAcentral describes it as "long non-coding RNA (PGIN_LNC013926)". The record is from RNAcentral. Lineage: Eukaryota; Viridiplantae; Streptophyta; Magnoliopsida; Apiales; Araliaceae.